This 420-nucleotide ribosomal RNA is filed under the name uncultured bacterium. Its description in RNAcentral is "bacterial SSU rRNA". It matches the Rfam family "Bacterial small subunit ribosomal RNA", at positions 564 to 982 of the family's 1533-position model. The record is from RNAcentral.
AGCGCGCGCAGGCGGAUCAGUCAGUCUGUCUUAAAAGUUCGGGGCUUAWACCCCGUGAUGGGAUGGAAACUGCUGAUCUAGAGUAUCGGAGAGGAAAGUGGAAUUCCUAGUGUAKCGGUGAAAUGCGUAGAUAUUAGGAAGAACACCAGUGGCGAAGGCGACUUUCUGGACGAAAACUGACGCUGAGGCGCGAAAGCCAGGGGAGCGAACGGGAUUAGAUACCCCGGUAGUCCUGGCCGUAAACGAUGGGUACUAGGUGUAGGAGGUAUCGACCCCUUCUGUGCCGGAGUUAACGCAAUAAGUACCCCGCCUGGGGAGUACGACCGCAAGGUUGAAACUCAAAGGAAUUGACGGGGGCCCGCACAAGCGGUGGAGUAUGUGGUUUAAUUCGACGCAACGCGAAGAACCUUACCAGGUCUU